Molecule: transfer RNA, 63 nt
Filed under: Phloiophilus edwardsi
Lineage: Eukaryota; Metazoa; Arthropoda; Insecta; Coleoptera; Phloiophilidae
Description: tRNA-Leu
Source: RNAcentral
GUUAUUUUGGCAGAUUAGUGCUAUAGAUUUAGAUUCUUUAUAUGUAAUUUAUUACAAAUAAUA